CGCGUAGGCUGUUGAGUAAGUCAAUUGUGAAAUCCCCGGGCUUAACCUGGGAACUGCAUUCGAUACUGCUUAACUAGAGUAUGGUAGAGGGAAGUGGAAUUCCGGGUGUAGCGGUGAAAUGCGUAGAUAUCCGGAGGAACACCAGUGGCGAAGGCGACUUCCUGGGCCAAUACUGACGCUGAGGUGCGAAAGCGUGGGGAGCAAACA
Molecule: ribosomal RNA, 207 nt
Filed under: uncultured bacterium
Lineage: Bacteria
Description: partial 16S ribosomal RNA
Rfam family: Bacterial small subunit ribosomal RNA
Source: RNAcentral